ACCUACUGUUUAAUUUUGAGGGUUCGUUUUUACGAAUACUCAAAAUUAGCACUUUUAGCAACAGAAUAAACUGAACGCAUGUGAAGUUUGUUUGUUGGCGCUGUGCAUUAGCACUUUAAGCAACGGGAUUUAUCCGUUGGCGCUGUGCUUUAGCACUUUGAAAACUGCAUAUAUAUUUAGUGAUAUGACAUCUAAUUUGUAAUAUAUAAAGCUGAUAACUUUUUAAAAUUAUCGAAGUUGAUAGCUUUUAAUCUAUCAAACCUUUUUAACUGGUCAA
RNAcentral lists this unclassified non-coding RNA (277 nucleotides) under Clostridioides difficile. Its description in RNAcentral is "16S-23S ribosomal RNA intergenic spacer (ISR)". Lineage: Bacteria; Bacillati; Bacillota; Clostridia; Peptostreptococcales; Peptostreptococcaceae. The record is from RNAcentral.